GUCCACGCUGUAAACGAUGGGCACUAGGUGUGGGGGGUGUCUACUCCCUCCGUGCCGAAGCUAACGCAUUAAGUGCCCCGCCUGGGGAGUACGGCCGCAAGGCUAAAACUCAAAGGAAUUGACGGGGGCCCGCACAAGCAGCGGAGCAUGUGGUUUAAUUCGACGCAACGCGAAGAACCUUACCUUGGCUUGACAUGUUCCUGAUCUCCCUGGAAACAGGGCUUCCCUUCGGGGCAGGAUCACAGGUGGUGCAUGGCUGUCGU
Molecule: ribosomal RNA, 263 nt
Filed under: uncultured bacterium
Lineage: Bacteria
Description: partial 16S ribosomal RNA
Rfam family: Bacterial small subunit ribosomal RNA
Source: RNAcentral